CAGCACGGGUGCUUGCACCUGGUGGCGAGUGGCGAACGGGUGAGUAAUACAUCGGAAUGUACCUUGUAGUGGGGGAUAGCUCGGCGAAAGCCGGAUUAAUACCGCAUACGCUCUGAGGAGGAAAGCGGGGGACCUUCGGGCCUCGCGCUACAAGAGCAGCCGAUGUCAGAUUAGCUAGUUGGUGGGGUAAAAGCUCACCAAGGCGACGAUCUGUAGCUGGUCUGAGAGGACGACCAGCCACACUGGGACUGAGACACGGCCCAGACUCCUACGGGAGGCAGCAGUGGGGAAUUUUGGACAAUGGGCGAAAGCCUGAUCCAGCAAUGCCGCGUGUGUGAAGAAGGCCUUCGGGUUGUAAAGCACUUUUGUCCGAGAAGAAAUCCUCUGGGUUAAUACCUCGGGGGGAUGACGGUACCGGAAGAAUAAGCACCGGCUAACUACGUGCCAGCAGCCGCGGUAAUACGUAGGGUGCAAGCGUUAAUCGGAAUUACUGGGCGUAAAGCGUGCGCAGGCGGUUUUGUAAGACGGAUGUGAAAUCCCCGGGCUUAACCUGGGAACUGCAUUCGUGACUGCAAGGCUAGAGUAUGGCAGAGGGGGGUAGAAUUCCACGUGUAGCAGUGAAAUGCGUAGAGAUGUGGAGGAAUACCGCUGGCGAGGCAGCCCCCCCGGCCCAAUAUUGACGUUCUUCCCGUAAGCGUGUGAGCAAACAGGAUUCGAUACCCUGCUAGUCCACGCCCUAUACGAUGUCAACUAGUUGUUGGGGAUUCAUUUCCUUAGUAACGAAGCUAACGCGUGAAGUUGACCGCCUGGGGAGUACGGUCGCAAGAUUAAAACUCAAAGGAAUUGACGGGGACCCGCACAAGCGGUGGAUGAUGUGGAUUAAUUCGAUGCAACGCGAAAAACCUUACCUACCCUUGACAUGUACGGAAUCUUGAUGAGAGGUGAGAGUGCUCGAAAGAGAACCGUAACACAGGUGCUGCAUGGCUGUCGUCAGCUCGUGUCGUGAGAUGUUGGGUUAAGUCCCGCAACGAGCGCAACCCUUGUCCUUAGUUGCUACGCAAGAGCACUCUAAGGAGACUGCCGGUGACAAACCGGAGGAAGGUGGGGAUGACGUCAAGUCCUCAUGGCCCUUAUGGGUAGGGCUUCACACGUCAUACAAUGGUCGGUACAGAGGGCUGCCAAACCGCGAGGUGGAGCUAACCCCAGAAAACCGAUCGUAGUCCGGAUCGCAGUCUGCAACUCGACUGCGUGAAGCUGGAAUCGCUAGUAAUCGCGGAUCAGCAUGUCGCGGUGAAUACGUUCCCGGGUCCUUGUACACACCGCCCGUCACACCAUGGGAGUGGGUUUUGCCAGAAGUAGGUAGCCUAACCGUAAGGAGGGCGCUACCACGGCGAGG
RNAcentral lists this ribosomal RNA (1396 nucleotides) under bacterium enrichment culture clone PeniS2D3. RNAcentral describes it as "16S ribosomal RNA". It matches the Rfam family "Bacterial small subunit ribosomal RNA". The record is from RNAcentral.